UCAGUCAUUUGGAAGCAUAUCACCCUUAAAUCUCUCUCAAUAAUACCAAGAACAGAAGUGUACAGUGUACGUAUUCUUUGUGUAAAUAUAGUGUGCUGGUGGAAUCUAAGUAAUCCCAAGGGAGGGUAAAGGGGUUUUCAAGCUUCAUACAUCACAAACAAGGUAUCAUUCCUCUAUGCUGCUGAUAUUUGAUCGAGAUCAUUGGUAGGCCGAGAAAGAGCUCCAGUAAAAUAAAUCUUAAGCUCUAGCUUCGAAGCUUUCUGGUAUCUGAUACAUUGAACAGAGGUACUUCAAGCUCAAUCACAAAAUUGCCUCACAACAAUUCAUCAUUUCUUCCCUCAAAUCACAACUCGAUCGCCUUGAUUCAUGAGCACAUACACAAACACUCCAUAUUUUUAGGUUUAUUCUUCAAACACACACUCAAGAACACAUACACAAAAUUAGAUAUGAUGAAGGGUUAUCUGAUGAACACGUUAAAGAAGACAAAAUCAGAUCGAGAUAUGGGUCUCCAAUCUCCUCCUCAGAUGACGAGCUCCUCCUCCUCCUACAGUAAUGGGACUUUUUGGCAGUCCACCCUCGAGCUUAUAUUUGAGUCAAACCAUCUACAAAGACUAGAAAUUUCAAACAAUCACUUCACUGAUGUUGCAUCUCAGGCAGCCUCCCUUCUUAAUUCUAUCAAUUUAACCUCACUUUUGUCAGUUAAAAUCACCUCAAAGUUCAAUGUCACCAUUACCAAUCGUAACCCCAAAGUUCAAUUUCACCAUUACCCUAAAGUGUCGCUGACGAAUUGAUUCUGGUUUUCACGAUGGGGAAGAAGAAAAAGAUUUGAAGAACAAAAAGAGUUUACUCGAUACUAAAGUGAAGGAGAAGAUCGGAAGCUUCAAGACUAAAAAGGUACCGAUUAGAGUUACUUGUGAGGGAAUCAAGGUUAUAGCACCCACCGGAAAAACAAUGACGACGAAAACAACUUCAGAAGCAACAAUAUAUGUAACCUAACAAGUCAAGAUAAGUAAUUUGAGCGGUGGCUAGGUGGUUAGCGAUACCAUUAUUCAGAUGACAUUAAGGGGUUAUCUGGUUGGAAAUGGGUUUGAAGGUAAUUGGGAUGGGUUUCAGUUUUGGGUAUGAUAGGUUGAAGAACAUAACUGAGCAUUAACGCGGGUGUGUUUUCCAAAUUUGUUAAAGGUGUGUUUCUUGGAGGCUUAAAGGAUUAAACUCAUAUUUUCAUGGAGGCUUAAAGGAUUUAGAAAUUUUUUUUAGGGGAAAUUGGGUUAAUGGCGUCGAGGGGAGAGAGAGAGAGAGAGAGACAGAACUCUUUUAUUUGUUAAUUAUUAAAAUAAAUAAAUAGGUAUUAAUUUUUUUAAAUGAGUAUAUAGUUUUUCCAGGUGCAAAAAUGGUCACUUAGAAGGGAAAAGACAAAUAUACCUUCAUAUGGGAGGCACAUGAAGAGGUUAACAACAACAACUUAACGGAAGUUAAAUCCAGGGACCAAUUCCACAUACAAACCACUUCAAAAGGACUAUGAAUCCAAAAAACUCAAGAUUUUGGCUAAAACCCCAAAAAUUUGCAUACCACAAUGACCAUUUUUGCAAUUUUGUCCUUAACUAAUUAAGGUGAGUACAUACAUGUCUUAUUCAUUGCUUAUACAUGAAUACCAUGAAUAUUUGUUGAUUAAUUGUUGUGUGAAUAGAUUAAGUGGUGCUACGGAUAUGAACUCCCCAUUAUUGUUACCUAGUUGUAUAAACUUCCUAACAGAACAUGCUCUAUAGUUCGACAAUUGUCUAGACAUUGGAUCCAAAGCGGGUAUGAACUCCCUAUAUGGAAGUGAAAGGGGUAUGAACUCCUCAUGAUUGGUGUCUACGGGUUUGAACUCCCCAUAUAACGUGUUUAGGGGUAUGAACAUCCCAAUUGAACUCCUCAUAUAACUUGUUUAGGGGUAUAAACAUCCCAAUUGUUUGCUGUAACUUGAAAUCUUGUAUGCUUAAUAUUAUUGGUUGAAUUGUUGAGAACUAA
Lactuca sativa (garden lettuce) is the source of this 2010-nucleotide non-coding RNA. NCBI's taxonomy places the organism in Eukaryota, Viridiplantae, Streptophyta, Magnoliopsida, Asterales, Asteraceae. The record is from RefSeq and is a predicted model, not a curated record.